CGCGUGUGUGAAGAAGCCUGGGGGUAGUAAGCACUUUCAAUAGGAAGGAAUACCUAUCGGUUAAUACCCGGUAGACUGACAUUACCUAUACAAGAAGCACCGGCUAACUCCGUGCCAGCAGCCGCGGUAAUACGGAGGGUGCAAGCGUUAAUCGGAAUUACUGGGCGUAAAGCGUGCGUAGGCGGUUAUUUAAGUCAGAUGUGAAAGCCCUGGGCUUAACCUGGGAACUGCAUUUGAUACUGGAUGAUUAGAGUUGAGUAGAGGAGAGUGGAAUUUCAGGUGUAGCGGUCAAAUGCGUAGAGAUCUGAAGGAACACCAGUGGCGAAGGCGGCUCUCUGGACUCAAACUGACGCUGAGGUACGAAAGCGUGGGUAGCAAACAGGAUUAGAUACCCUGGUAGUCCACGCCGUAAACGAUGUCAACUAACCGUUGGGUUCUUUAAGAACUUAGUGGUGGAGCUAACGUAUUAA
RNAcentral lists this ribosomal RNA (470 nucleotides) under uncultured archaeon. Its description in RNAcentral is "bacterial SSU rRNA". It matches the Rfam family "Bacterial small subunit ribosomal RNA", at positions 398 to 863 of the family's 1533-position model. The record is from RNAcentral.